This 252-nucleotide ribosomal RNA is filed under the name uncultured prokaryote. RNAcentral describes it as "partial 16S ribosomal RNA". It matches the Rfam family "Bacterial small subunit ribosomal RNA", at positions 524 to 775 of the family's 1533-position model. The record is from RNAcentral.
CACGGGGGGAGCAAGCGUUGUUCGGAAUCACUGGGCGUAAAGGGCGUGUAGGCGGUCAAGUUAGUGUGAUGUGAAAUCCCUCGGCUCACCCGAGGACCGGCAUCGCAUACUGCUUGGCUUGAGUACGGGAGAGGAUGUGGGAAUUCCUGGUGUAGCGGUGAAAUGCGUAGAUAUCAGGAGGAACACCGGUGGCGAAGGCGCACAUCUGGCCCGAUACUGACGCUGAGGCGCGAAAGCUAGGGGAGCAAACGG